GAUGAAGAACGUAGCGAAAUGCGAUAAGUAAUGUGACUUGCAGAAUUCAGUGAAUCAUCGAAUCUUUGAACGCACAUUGCGCCCGCCAGUAUUCUGGCGGGCAUGCCUGUUCGAGCGUCAUUACAACCCUCAGGCCCCCGGGCCUGGCGUUGGGGAUCGGCGGAGCCCCCCGUGGGCACACGCCGUCCCCCAAAUACAGUGGCGGUCCCGCCGCAGCUUCCAUCGCGUAGUAGCUAACACCUCGCGACUGGAGAGCGGCGCGGCCACGCCGUAAAACACCCAACUCUUCUGAAGUUGACCUCGAAUCAGGUAGGAAUACCCGCUGAACUUAAGCAUAUCAAUAAGCGGAGGA
This 352-nucleotide unclassified non-coding RNA is filed under the name soil metagenome. Its description in RNAcentral is "partial contains 5.8S ribosomal RNA, internal transcribed spacer 2, and large subunit ribosomal RNA". The stretch from base 1 to 120 matches the Rfam family "5.8S ribosomal RNA", at positions 35 to 154 of the family's 154-position model. The record is from RNAcentral.